Long non-coding RNA from Pezoporus flaviventris, 481 nucleotides. RefSeq lists it as uncharacterized. The record is from RefSeq and is a predicted model, not a curated record. Lineage: Eukaryota; Metazoa; Chordata; Aves; Psittaciformes; Psittacidae. The transcript has 4 exons.
CAAUGUACCUGGAAAGGUCAGUUCUGGGAUCAAAAGCAAUAACAGGCUGCUUGGAGACAGGAUUUCCUGAGCUAUACAACUGCUGAAGAGAGAGAAAGAGAAGCGACUGCUCUAAGAGUGGAAACAAUCUUAAACCAUCUUCAGUCCUGGCUUGCAUCUGACACAGUCCCAUUCAUCUAACAGAGGCUAUACAGUGUCACUGAACUGAGGUGAGCAGCAGCACUACCUAGUCAUCAUUCCAGUGACAGUUUGGUAACCUGGUACCUCCUUACCCUGGAAAGACUCACACCACGAAGACAAUGUGAUCCUCAGUCAGAUUACCCAAGAGAUGUUCCUUCCUGGAAAGGGAAAUAGGACAGAGAUACAGAGCUGUUUUUCAAUCCCUUCGUUUACAUGGACUCAUUUCAAGUACGUUUUAUUGUGUGUUUGUGAUUUAAACCUUACCAGCUCCUAUUUUCAGAUGGAAAGAUUUGAAGUCCCA